GAGCACUAAUGAGCGGAAACAUGACCUCGCCUCACCGGCUCUGAAGGAAGCAAAGGAAACAGGACGAUGGCGGGCUGGAGUCUUCAAACCAACCGAGAGAGAGACAAGUUGUCUCCAGGCUGUCCUGGGUCUGCCCGGGUGUCCUUCUGAUCAGUCCGUUGUUUAAUCAAGACAACAAAGUGAGCUGAGACGGUGAGGGGCCGGAAAGCAAAAUCCUCCAUCGAACAAGAAUCAGCACGGCUAACAUCCUGCACAGCUCACACACAGGUGUGACACAAACUGGGAGCAGGUUCAAAACAGGAAGCGACUAACACAACACACCUGGUGGAAGGAGGCUGAGGGGGGAGUGGCUGGUCCGUCUGGAGAACCGAACCAAACACCUGAAGAACCUCAAUGACAACUACAUGAGGAAGAUGAAGAUGGAGCCGUCAGCUGACCAGACCUGAGCCCCCGAUAACUCGCCGUAGAGCUGCUGAGCCAACAACCGCGUCUCCUCCUGCUGCUGUGUGAGAGAAAUAAAGAGCUGGAAAAUAGACGCGUCUGUGAUUCAUUCAGAGUCAGAGUUUGAACGUUCUGUUUUAUUUCCUGCAUCUCAAACACAUCAGUGCAUCAGAGCCAGCAGUGUCAGGCUGUGCUGAUUCUGCAGCAGGUGUAAAGAUCACUGAGACUCACUCUGAAGCCUCUGACCGCCAACAUGGCGCCAUCUGCUGGACAAACAGGAACAAACCUCGAGGAGGGGCUGAACGUUCAGUCCAGUAAAGGUGGGAACAUGAAGGAGUUUCCGACGCCGGCCACAUGCAGCGUGUGAACCAAUAAAUAAUCUAUAAGUGACCAUUAGUGACAAAACCAUCAGUCCCCUUCAACACCAGCAAACAGCAGAGCUGGGUCAGUGUUUGGAACGUAACUGAAAUAAAAACAACUAUUAAAUAUUUUAAAUUCACUCUUCAGUCAUUUCAAGUUUUCUCACAGCAGCUUCACAAAUACAAACUUUUUAAGUUUUCAGUUGUUUUUCUACAGAAGCAUAAAAAAGUUAAUUUUAUGAAUUAUUCUCUGCAGAAUUUAAGACUUUGGCC
This is a long non-coding RNA of Astatotilapia calliptera (eastern happy), 1073 nucleotides long. The record is from Ensembl. Lineage: Eukaryota; Metazoa; Chordata; Actinopteri; Cichliformes; Cichlidae.